ACAGUGGGGAUGGAAAUGACUUUAUUGUGGUUGAAUUAGUUAAAGGGUACUUACAUUACGUGUUUGAUUUGGGAAAUGGUGCUAACCUCAUCAAAGGAAGCUCAAAUAAACCUCUCAAUGACAAUCAGUGGCACAACGUGAUGAUAUCAAGGGACACCAGCAACCUCCACACUGUAAAGAUUGACACAAAAAUCACAACGCAAAUCACCGCCGGAGCCAGGAACUUAGACCUCAAGAGUGACUUAUAUAUAGGAGGAGUAGCUAAAGAAACAUACAAAUCCUUACCAAAACUUGUACAUGCCAAAGAAGGCUUUCAAGGCUGCCUGGCAUCGGUUGAUUUAAAUGGACGGCUUCCGGACCUCAUCUCCGAUGCUCUUUUCUGCAACGGACAGAUCGAGAGAGGAUGUGAAGGGCCCAGCACAACCUGCCAAGAGGACUCAUGUUCCAAUCAAGGUGUGUGCUUGCAACAAUGGGAUGGCUUCAGCUGUGACUGUAGUAUGACUUCCUUCAGUGGACCACUCUGCAAUGACCCUGGGACGACAUAUAUCUUUAGCAAAGGUGGUGGACAAAUCACGUAUAAGUGGCCUCCUAAUGACCGACCCAGUACACGAGCAGACAGACUGGCCAUAGGGUUUAGCACUGUUCAGAAAGAAGCUGUAUUGGUGCGAGUGGACAGUUCUUCAGGCUUGGGUGACUACCUAGAACUGCAUAUACACCAGGGAAAAAUUGGAGUUAAGUUUAAUGUUGGGACAGAUGACAUCGCCAUUGAAGAGUCCAAUGCAAUCAUUAAUGAUGGGAAAUACCAUGUAGUUCGUUUCACGAGGAGUGGUGGCAAUGCCACGUUGCAGGUGGACAGCUGGCCAGUGAUCGAGCGCUACCCUGCAGGAAACAAUGAUAACGAGCGCCUGGCGAUUGCUAGACAGCGAAUUCCAUAUCGACUUGGUCGAGUAGUUGAUGAAUGGCUACUCGACAAAGGGCGUCAGCUCACAAUCUUCAAUAGCCAAGCAACCAUAAUAAUUGGCGGGAAAGAGCAGGGCCAGCCCUUCCAGGGCCAGCUCUCUGGGCUUUACUACAAUGGCUUGAAAGUUCUGAAUAUGGCAGCCGAAAACGAUGCCAACAUCGCCAUAGUGGGAAAUGUGAGACUGGUUGGUGAAGUGCCUUCCUCUAUGACAACUGAGUCGACAGCCACUGCCAUGCAAUCAGAGAUGUCCACAUCAAUUAUGGAGACUACCACGACCCUGGCUACUAGCACAGCCAGAAGAGGAAAGCCCCCGACAAAAGAACCCAUUAGCCAGGUAUCAGUGAGAAAGGUAGGACACACAAUUCCUUGGAAGAACAGAAGGAUGAAUAACUACUUGAUUUCAGGAAGAACUGGCAAUAUAUCUAGACAGACAUCCCACUUCAUCUUUAAAAUAGGAAUAAAAACACCUAAUGCCUGGGGUGCUAUGAAAAUUAUACAAAAUAACAAAUAUAAAGUGUUUAGCACAGAUGGCAGAUAAUGUUAAUAAUGUUUUAAUUUUUCUUGGUGGCAUACAUGAACUGGUUGAUUAGGUUAAAAUUAUGCGUGAAAGCACAGAUUUACUUUUAUGAAAAAUGUAUUUGAGGUCCACUAGGUUGUAUGUGAUGUAGUUGUCCACCUCCUCCAACCCACCAUGAUUUUGGUACUUACAUACUUAAAUGUCCUUGGAUUGGAUCCAAGGAAGACCAGCCAUAUACACAUAUUCGGCCCCGAAGUGAAUUGUGCUAUGGCAAUUAUCCCAUUGAAUUGCUCUUUAAAAGGUCAAUUCAUUAGCUUUGCCUUUGCUUCCCUCAUUUUUGAAUGUGGUGCUGAUUAAACCUCCAUGAAGCCUUGUAUUAACCUUUUAUUCAAAGUAAGUAAAAACCAGUUCAAGAUUUUCACUGCAAAGCUGUCAUAGGUCACCAGGUUGAAAGCAUUUACAGGAGAAAAAAUGGGAUGUAUUUUCCCAGAAAAAAAAAAUGACACCAGGCUCUUAAAUGUUCUUGGGUUCCUUUUUAGUUGGACAGUACCAGGGGAACUGUAAUCUUAUCAGCGUUUCUUUAUAUUUUACAGCACAUAUUUGCAAAUGGCAUUGAAAAAGAGAAGCGAUGGAGGUUAAAGGAGUUUCAGAUAUAAUAAUUCUUAAUCAAAAUUUCAUUUAGGAAAGAGCAGCACCUAGAUUUACUAAGCAAGGUAAAGUAGUAGGACUUUCUUUCCAGGAAGAAUGAGAGAAACACUUGGUAGUAAUUUAUGCCUUUCUUAUGGGUUCCAGUAUAUUAUGGAGUCAGACAUGUAUAUGUACAUAUAUCAAGGGAGCCUCAGCACCUGCUGCAAAUCACUAUCUUCAGUGCAUUCUUGUUUCUUCCCUGGGUAUCAGUGAGGAAGGAAGGACACAUACUCCCUUGGCAGGUGACAGAAUGAUGUAGUACUACUUAAUUUCAGCAACAAUUGGGAAUAUAUGUAGCCUGAACCUCAGCAUUAACUAAGGAUAGAAUUCAGUCUUCCUAGAAGCUCUAUUUUUACCUACUACAUAAGAUAUUCUGGCAACCAGUAAAUUUACAGGCCACUGAAUGAAAGUCUAACAUUGUUGUGUCUUGAUAUUUCAGUGACUACUCAUCACAGAUUUCAUAGAAAGAGUGAAAGGAAAUUAUGGAGUAUAACUAAAUACAAAACAUCUCUUUUCGUAAAACUUGAGAAUUUGAUUUUUUUAUACAAACUU
Molecule: small RNA, 2717 nt
Filed under: Pan troglodytes (chimpanzee)
Lineage: Eukaryota; Metazoa; Chordata; Mammalia; Primates; Hominidae
Description: processed transcript
Source: RNAcentral